Molecule: ribosomal RNA, 496 nt
Filed under: uncultured bacterium
Lineage: Bacteria
Description: partial 16S ribosomal RNA
Rfam family: Bacterial small subunit ribosomal RNA
Source: RNAcentral
GAUGAACGCUGGCGGCGUGCCUAAUACAUGCAAGUCGAGCGAACAGACGAGGAGCUUGCUCCUCUGACGUUAGCGGCGGACGGGUGAGUAACACGUGGAUAACCUACCUAUAAGACUGGGAUAACUUCGGGAAACCGGAGCUAAUACCGGAUAAUAUAUUGAACCGCAUGGUUCAAUAGUGAAAGACGGUUUUGCUGUCACUUAUAGAUGGAUCCGCGCCGCAUUAGCUAGUUGGUAAGGUAACGGCUUACCAAGGCAACGAUGCGUAGCCGACCUGAGAGGGUGAUCGGCCACACUGGAACUGAGACACGGUCCAGACCCCUACGGGAGGCAGCAGUAGGGAAUCUUCCGCAAUGGGCGAAAGCCGGACGGGGAAACGCCGCGUGAGGAAUGAAGGUCUUCGGAUUGUAAAACUCUUUUAUUAGGGAAAAAAAAAUGUGUAAGUAACUAUGCACGUUUUGACGGUACCAAAUCAGAAAGCCACGGCUAACUACGU